This 2082-nucleotide long non-coding RNA is filed under the name Canis lupus familiaris (dog). Its description in RNAcentral is "lncRNA (ENSCAFG00030013958.1)". The record is from RNAcentral. Lineage: Eukaryota; Metazoa; Chordata; Mammalia; Carnivora; Canidae.
AAUUCCCUGAAUCUGUUUGACAACAACGCUUCCCCCCUGCUGCCUCUGGAAACGCCUGCGCACCGACGAGAGCUGCCUCCUCCCCUGUGGUCAGCGCCAGAGGAUCAGCAGGGCCUGGCCGCGAGCAUAAAUCUCAGCCAGCGGGAUCUCAAGGGGCACAGACGGAUUCUGAUCAGCUCCAAAAUUUCCUCCAAUGGGUGGAAUGAGGAUGCCCGCCCUCGGCUCCCAGCCUGCCAGGGCUGCAGGGCCGCCUGGGCUUUGCGAGCGCGAGUGGAACGUGUAACCGGCUGGGCCACGGCCGGCGCUCGCCCUCGGACGGAGCGAUGCGAUCACCGAGGACCGGACCCCGCGCAGCCGCCGCCCCUCCCCGCGCGGGUCCCGCAGUGCAUCACCGCCUCCCUCCACUUCCAAUUCCAAGCGCCACGGAAGGCGCCAUCCAGCGGGGCCAGGACAGCGGCUCGGCGCGGCUCGAGAGGCGCGGCCGGGCGGCGCCGGGGGGCGGGGGGAGGCGGUCGCCGCUGCGCCCCCGCCCGGCCCCGCCGGCGCCGCCUCCCCCGCCAGGCGACAGCAGCCCGAGGGGGACGCGGAGGCGCCUCCCGCCGCCCGCAGCCCAGGCGGCCGCCGCGGGGCACGAGGGCGCCUCCCCCCGCCCCCGAUGAGGGGCGCGCCCGGCCAUGGCCGCGCCGGCGAGCGACAGCGGCGGCCACCGGAGCCCGACCGGCAGGCGCGGGGGCGCGGCAGGCGCCGGGGAGGCCGCGGCCGCGGGGGUCCUCCCGCCGCUCGAGGACUACGAGUGCAAGAUCUGCUACAACUACUUCGACGCGGACCGGCGCGCGCCCAAGCUGCUGGCCUGCCUGCACACCUUCUGCCAGGAGUGCCUGCGCCAGCUGCAGCUCCGCGCCGCCCCCGCGCCCCCCGCGGCCCCCGCGCCCCCCGCCGCCGCCGCCGCCGCCGCCGCCGCCGCCGCGCCUGAGCGCCCCCCGCGCCCGCCGCCCUGGCUCGGCCCGCCCGGCGCCAUCGCCUGCCCCGUGUGCCGCCACCGCACCCCGCUGCCCGACAGCCGCGUGCACGGCCUGCCCGUCAACACCAAGCUCGCCGACGCCUUCCCGCUGGCCCUGCGCGCCGCGCACGACCCGCUGCCCCAGGACCGCCUCCCGCCCGCCGCCCCGGCCUCGGCCCCGGCCCCCGCCCCCGCCCCCGCCCCGCCCGCGGAGGACGCCGCCCGCCCGCCCCGCGCCCGCCUGCGCGCCCCGGGCGCCUACGACAGCUGCCAGGACUGCAAGCGCGCCGCGCUCACCGCCGGCUGCGUGUGCGUCGUCUUCUCCUUCCUCUCCAUGGUGGUGCUGCUCUUCACCGGCCUCAUCUUCGUCAACCACUACGGGGGCGGGGGCGGCGGGGGCGGCCCUCCCGGAGGCGCGGCGCCCCCUGGAGCUGCCCCGGGGCCCGGGUCGCCGUCGCCGUCGCCGUCGCCCGUGGGGCCCAUCUGCCUGUCGGUGGCCAGCAUCCUGGCGCUCUUCUCGGUCGUCGUCACCUGGGUCAUCUGCUGGCUCAAGUACCGGCCCGAGGGCGCGGCCGCGGGCUCGGCGGGGGGCGGCGGGGGCGGCCCGAGGGCGCGGGCGGCGGCGGGCGGCGCAAGGAGGAGCGACACGUAGCGGGGCCGCCGCAGGGGAGGGGACGGGAGGGGAGGGGAGGGGAGGGGCGCUCCUCCCGCCGCCGCCGCCGUCGCCACCGCCUGGUCCCCCGCCUCGCCCUCCGCGUGCGCCCCGUGCGCCCCUCCGCCGCCGCCGCCGCGCGGGCCCGGGUAGGGGCGGGGGGCGGGGGGCGGGGAGCGGGGGGGGGGGGCGGGCACGCGCCUUGCCCCGGCCCGUGCAGCCUCCGCGGGGGACUCGGGGAGCUCCUGCCGGGAACUCAUUUCAUCUGCAACUGGACUCGGGGAGUCUCCGGAGCCGGCUCUCGUCUCUCAAAACUGACUUACUGUUGCCCCCACCUGGAAGAUCUCGAAAGCUGUUCACGCAGGAUCUAAGCUGUAGGCUCCUCCGCCUUUUUCCUUUUUUUAGUUCCUUUUUUUUUUUUUUUAAAUAA